Equus caballus (horse) is the source of this 1679-nucleotide non-coding RNA. Lineage: Eukaryota; Metazoa; Chordata; Mammalia; Perissodactyla; Equidae. The record is from RefSeq and is a predicted model, not a curated record.
GAGGUCGGAAGUCCAAGAUCAAGAUGCCAGAAUGGAUGGGUUCUGGUGACUGCCCUCUUCAGGGUCGCAGACUGCUGACUUCUCGUGUAUCCUCAUGUGGCAAAGACCUGAGAGAGGGGGAAAGCUCUCUUGUGGUUCUUAUAGAAGCACUAAUCCCAUUCACAAAGGCUCCUCCCUUAUGACCUCAUCUAGACCUAAUUACCUUCCAAAGGCCCUCCCUCCUAAUACCAUCUCAUGGGGAGGUAGGGUUUCAACAUAUGAAUUUUGGGGGAACACAAACAUUCAGUCUAUAGCAAACUCCACGUACAUUUUUUUACUAAUAAAAGUGAUUUAAGUGUAUUUUUUCUUUGCAACUCCAUGAAUAGCUUGGCCUAGAGACAACUGGGCUAAGAAUUCUCUCAUUCUGAUGCCUAGGAUAACAGCACCUUCAUCAACGUGAGAUGUCACUACCAUUUACAGCUUGACAAGCCCAGUAUCAGAGAGUGAGACCCUUUUUACUCUCCAAAAGAAGAGCACCACAUCUAUUUUGCUUACAUCCCAGCUCCCAGCAUGAUGCUGAGCGUGCAAGGGGACCUAAAUAAAUAUGUACUAAAGAGAUGACGCAACAGAAAGAAAACAACAACAUUGAAGACAUCCUGAAAUAGCAUUCAUUUGGCAGGUAGAGAUGCAGAUGGCCGGUGCUGACCAGGAGCAAAAGUUGGCAGAGCUUCCUUGACCUGAAUGCCUGAAUGACUUGAGCUGGGCUGCUGAUCUAACCACCGAAAGUGUUACCCGAGCAAGAAAUAAACUUCUACUUCGCUGAGCCGCUACGCGUUUGGUCUGUUUAUUACUGCAGCCCAGCCUGCCUGAACUGAUGCAGCAUCGGUCCCACCUCAGCACUGGUGAACUCUCAGCCUUCCUUCGGGAAGACUCACAGUCCACCGGUGAUAAUGUGACCCUUUAUAUCUGCCCCAAGAGAGAAGACCUGGUGUCAUUCUUAUUUUGACUGUUGAUGAGGCUUACUUUCUUUCUUAUUGUUUGGAUAAAAAGUCAGUAGAAAUAAAAGUUGUAAUAUUUCUUCCUGCAGCCUGGGAGAUGUUGCACCUCACUUAGCCAACUAUUGCUUUAAGAAACUUGACUCGAUGGGCUUCGCAUUUCAUUGGGUCAACUUCGUAAUUGCUACAAAAAUGACAAUGUAAGUAAGAGUUUGACAUCAUUAGGAACGCAUUCUUCCAUAAGAAGAGGAAAAGCGAUCUGAUUCUCAUUCUGUUGUCCUGGCAAUAGCAAUAAAGGCAGCACAAAAUGUGAGUUCCACUUAUUUUCCAUUGUUCAUGUGCCCUUCGAUGGGAUUUCCCGGCUGACCCUCUUUAUUUCAUGGAGUCAUCAGUUGUUAAUUUGCCGUGUACGACGGGUUUCAAUGUUGCUACCAUUUUAUUUCUUUUUUCCCUUUUUCUUUUUCUUUCUUUUUUUUUCUUUUGAGAGUGAUGGGAAAUAGAGCUACACUUGAAUUCCAAUCCCAUUUGGUGUGAGACUGAGCAACCUGAUCCAGCCCAGAUCUGACUGUCUUUCACUGGGGUUAGUUUUUGCUUGUGAGAGAACGUUGCUUUAGUUAGCACUAUCCGCUGCCCUCCCACCCGAGGAAUAAAUCACAAACGCAGAAGAAAGCUGCAAUCCAGUUGACACACUGCCACUAAAUAACU